RNAcentral lists this ribosomal RNA (440 nucleotides) under uncultured bacterium. RNAcentral describes it as "partial 16S ribosomal RNA". It matches the Rfam family "Bacterial small subunit ribosomal RNA", at positions 338 to 795 of the family's 1533-position model. The record is from RNAcentral.
CCUACGGGCGGCAGCAGUGGGGAAUAUUGCACAAUGGGGGAAACCCUGAUGCAGCGACGCCGCGUGAGCGAUGAAGUAUUUCGGUAUGUAAAGCUCUAUCAGCAGGGAAGAAAAUGACGGUACCUGACUAAGAAGCCCCGGCUAACUACGUGUCAGCAGCCGCCGUAAUACGUAGGGGGCAAGCGGUAGCCGGAUUUACUGGGUGGAAAGGGGGCGUAGACGGCGGUGCAAGCCAGAUGUGAAAGCGCGGGGCUCAACCCCGGGACUGCAGUUGGAACUGUGCUGCUAGAGUGUCGGAGAGGCAGGCGGAAUGCGUAGUGUAGCGGUGAAAUGCGUAGAUAUUAGGAGGAACACCAGUGGCGAAGGCGGCCUGCUGGACGAUAACUGACGUUGAGGCUCGAAAGCGUGGGGAGCAAACAGGAUUAGAUACCCGAGUAGUC